Molecule: ribosomal RNA, 497 nt
Filed under: uncultured bacterium
Lineage: Bacteria
Description: partial 16S ribosomal RNA
Rfam family: Bacterial small subunit ribosomal RNA
Source: RNAcentral
GAUGAACGCUGGCGGCGUGCCUAAUACAUGCAAGUAGAACGCUGAAGGAAGGAGCUUGCUCUUUCCGGAUGAGUUGCGAACGGGUGAGUAACGCGUAGGUAACCUGCCUGGUAGCGGGGGAUAACUAUUGGAAACGAUAGCUAAUCCCGCAUAACAGUAGAUGUUGCAUGAUAUCUACUUAAAAGGUGCAAUUGCACCACUACCAGAUGGACCUGCGUUGUAUUAGCUAGUUGGUGAGGUAACGGCUCACCAAGGCGACGAUACAUAGCCGACCUGAGUGGGGGGUCGGCCACACUGGGACUGAGACACGGCCCAGACUCCUACGGGAGGCAGCAGAAGGGAGUCUUCGGAAAUAGACGGGAGUCUGAACGAGCAACGCCGCGUGAGCGAAGAAGGUUUUCGGAUCGUAAAGCUCUGUUAUAAGUGAAGAGAGAGAGUGAGAGUGGAAAGUUCACACUGUGACGGUAUCUUACCAGAAAGGGACGGAUAACUACGUG